RNAcentral lists this ribosomal RNA (513 nucleotides) under uncultured bacterium. RNAcentral's name for it is "bacterial SSU rRNA". It matches the Rfam family "Bacterial small subunit ribosomal RNA", at positions 1003 to 1512 of the family's 1533-position model. The record is from RNAcentral.
GAUACGUUAGGUGCCCUUCGGGGAAAGUAGAGACAGGUGGUGCAUGGUUGUCGUCAGCUCGUGUCGUGAGAUGUUGGGUUAAGUCCCGCAACGAGCGCAACCCUUAAGCUUAGUUGCCAUCAUUAAGUUGGGCACUCUAGGUUGACUGCCGGUGACAAACCGGAGGAAGGUGGGGAUGACGUCAAAUCAUCAUGCCCCUUAUGAUUUGGGCUACACACGUGCUACAAUGGAUAAUACAAAGGGCAGCGAACCCGCGAGGUCAAGCAAAUCCCAUAAAAUUAUUCUCAGUUCGGAUUGUAGUCUGCAACUCGACUACAUGAAGCUGGAAUCGCUAGUAAUCGUAGAUCAGCAUGCUACGGUGAAUACGUUCCCGGGUCUUGUACACACCGCCCGUCACACCACGAGAGUUUGUAACACCCGAAGCCGGUGGAGUAACCUUUUAUUAGGAGCUAGCCGUCGAAGGUGGGACAGAUGAUUGGGGUGAAGUCGUAACAAGGUAGCCGUAUCGGAAGG